AAAGCUGUCACCGUAUUCUUCAAAGAAAUUCAGCAAAUAUUCCACACUACCUACAGUGAAAUAGCAUGGAUUUCAUCCAUUAUGCUGGCUGUUAUGUACGCAGGAGGCCAAAUGGAGGGAAACAAUCCAAGAAGAGGAGCACAUAGGAGGCACCAUAAGUGAAAGGGUGCAAUUGUCUAGCUCACACUAUUUAAAGCAAACAAUACUGUCAAACAGGUUGAAUCCAUUUGCAGACUCUAACCAAUUACUUGAGCAAUUCUUUCUCUCUAGCCCUAGAAUAGGUAAUGGGUAGGGUAGGGUUGUAUAACUGGAAGCUGUGUAAGCAGAGGCAACCUUAGUGUAAGAAGAAAAAGUGGAUCUUAUUUGUUUAAUAAUUGCAAAACUCUUUCCCAUAUAUUACUUCACUUGAUCCUCCAACACUGAUCCUACAACAAUCUGUGAAGCAGUCUAGAUACCAUUAAUCAUAAAAACAGAAUCAUAGGCCAGGCGCUGUGGCACACACCUGUAAUUCCAAUACUUUGGGAGGCCGAGGAGGGCAGAUCACCUGAGGUCAGGAGUUUGAGACCAGCCUGGCCAAUAUGAUGAAACCCCAUCUCUACUAAAAAUACAAAAAUUAGCUGGGCAUGGUGGUGGGUGCCUGUAAUCCCAGCUACUCGGAAGGCUGAGGCAGGAGAAUCGCAAGGGUUAAUCGAGGGAUUGGUAGAAGUGGAGAGGCGUGGGUCAAAGGAUACAAAAUUUUAGCUAGAUAGGAUAGGAUUUUAGCUACAAAUCUAUUAUAAAAAGUUAAAAUUUUAUCAGAACUUAUGUACAGGAACCCUUAUAGAUGCUACAGGCCACCAUCCACAGUGCAGAAAAAUGUAAACAAACAUAAGGACACGGUAUAAAAUCAAGCUGCCUGAAAUUAACUGUAAUACAUACUGUACUACUGUAAUAAUUUUGUAGCCAUCUCCUGUUGCUACUGUGCUGGGCUAAAGUGUUGUGUCAUGCCUAAAACGUGUGACACUUAUCUCUAUGUGAGCGGUUCUUUCCUCUAAUAAAUUAUCACAAUAAAAAAUGGGCUCUCAGAGUUCUUGCAUAUUUUGUAUCAUGUUUAGUGCAAUACCAUAAACCUUGAAUAACACCACGGGACCCAUACAAAGUUGAAUUGCUUGAUAUGUACCAUAGACUGAAGUCGGCUACUGUAGCUGCCUACCAUUUCAAGAUAAUUGAAUACAGCAAAAAUACUACUGUAAGAAAAUAAAAGGAAAUUUAUGAAAUUUUUGUUGCAGACUCUGCCAACAGGUGUGAAAACCUUACACUUUUUGCAAACUGCCUUUUUAUCUUGUAUUGAAAAUGCAGUUUUUAUGUAGGUUCAGGAUUGCUAUAAGACAUACCUAUAGAUAUGCACUUUAAUGUGAUUUGAGAACAAGCAAAUGACAACUUAAAGUAAAAGCUAAAUGAAAUAUCUAAAUCCAGAGUGUUUAGUACCAGCAAACUGUGGUUUGAUAAUUUUAAGAAGAGAUUUGGCUUUAAAAAAUGUCACAAUAACAGGAGAAGCAGCUUCUACUGACCAAAAAGCAGCAGAUGACUUCCAAGACAUCACUGAAAAAAUCAUUGAGAAGAAAUGACAUCUGCCUGAACAGGUUUUUAAUGCAGACAAAAGUACACUAGUCUGGGGAAAAAAUGCCACAAAGGAAAUUUAUUAGUAAGGAAGAGAAAUUAGCAUUGAGAAUUUAAGGUAGGAAGGGACAGGCUAACUGUACUGUUUUAAGCAAAUGCAAUUUAUGAUCAGGACUGCCCUUAUCUACAAAGCCAAUAACUCCUGAGUUUUGAAGGGACAAGAUCAACACCAGCUGCCAGUCUUUUUGCUGUACAACAGGAAGGCCUGGACAAUGAGAACCCUUUUUCUGUAUUGGUUUCAUUGAUGCUUUGUCCCUCAAUUCAGGAAGUACCUUGCCAGUAAGGGCUGCCAUACUGGCAGUUUUUUUGAUAUUGGAUAAUGACCUUGACCACCCAAAACCCCACGAAUUCAGUGCCAAAGGUGUCGAAGUGGUCUACUUGCCCCCAUACACAAAAUAUCUCAUUCAGCCUCUAGAUCAGGAGGUGAGGUCAUAGCACCUUUAAGGCUCAUUACACAUGGUACUCUAUGGAAAAAAUUGUCAACGCUGUGGAAGAGAACCUCUAUAUAGAGAGUAUCAUGGAUGUUUGGAAGAAUUACACCCUUGAAGAUGUCGUUAUUGUUAUAGAAAAAGCCAUGAAAGUCACCAAGCUUGAAGCAAUAAAUUUCUGCUACAGAAAAGAUGUUUUGCAAGACUUCACAAGAUUUAUGAUAGAGCCAAUCAAAGAAAUCAUGAAAGAGAUUGUGGAUGUGGCAGAAAAGGUUGGAAGGUAAAGGACUUCAAGAUAUGGAUCUUGGAGAAAUUCAAGAGAUAAUAAAAAUCACACCAGAGUAAUUAGUAGAAGCUGACUUGAUGGAGAUGAAAGUUUCCAAACCAGCGCCAGACAAUGAGGAAGAAGACAUAGAAGAAGCAGGGCAAUGGGGAAAGCAUUCCCUAUUUAACAAAUGGUGUUGGGAAAACUGGCAAGCCAUAUACAGAAAACUGAAACUGGACCUCUUCUUUACACCUUAUACAAAAAUUAACUCAAGGUGCAUUAAAGACUUAAAUAUAAGACUUUAAACCAUAAAAACCCUAGAAGAAAACCUGGACAGUACCAUUCAGGACAUAGGCAUAGGCAAAGACUUCAUGACUAAAACACCGAAAGCAAUGGAAACAAAAGUCAAAAUUGACAAAUGAGAUAUAAUUAAACUAAAGAGCUUCUGCACAGCAAAAGAAACUAUCAUCAGAGUGAACAGGCCACCUACAGAAUGGGAGAAAGAUUUUGCAAUCUAUCCAUCUGACAAAGGGCUAGUUUCCAGAAUCUACAAAGAAUGUAAACAAAUUUACAAGAAAAAAACAACCCCAUCAAAAAGUGAGCAAAGGAUAUGAACAGAUACUUCUCAAAAGAAGACAUUUAUGCAGCCAAGAAACAUAUGAAAAAAAGCUCAUUAUCACUGGUCAUUAGAGAAAUGCAAAUCAAAACCACAAUGAGAUACCAUCUCAUGCCAGUUAGAAUGACGAUCAUUAAAAAGUCAGGAAACAACAGAUGCUGGAGAGGAUGUGGAGAAAUAGGAACGCUUUUACACUGUUGGUGGAAGUGUAAAUUAGUUCAACUGUUGUGGAAGAUGGUGUGGCGAUUCCUCAAGGAUCUAGAACUAGAAAUACAAUUUGACCCAGCAAUCCCAUUACUGGGUAUAUACCCAAAGGAUUAUAAAUCAUUCUACUCUAAAGACACAUGCACUUGUAUGUUUACUGCAGCACUGUUCACAAUAGCAAAGACUUGCAACCAACCCAAAUGCCCAUCAAUGAUAGACUAGAUAAAGAAAAUGUGGCGCAUAUACACCGUGGAAUACUAUGUAGCCAUAAAAAAAGGAUGAGUUCAUGUCCUUUGCAGAGACAUGGAUGAAGCUGGAAACCAUCAAUCUCAGCAAACUAACACAGGAACAGAAAACCAAACACCACAUGUUCUCACUCACAAGUGGGAGUUGAACAAUAAGAAAACAUGGACACAGGGAGGGGAACAUCACACACUGAGGCCUGUCGGGGGGCGGGGGGCUAGGGGAGGGACAGCAUUAGAAGAAACACCUGGAUCGCUGGAGCCAAGAUUUGCUGGAGCCAAAUAGGAACAGCUCUGGUCUACAGCUCCCAUCAUGAGCGACGCAGAAGAUGGGUGAUUUCUGCAUUUCCAUCUGAGGUACUGAGUUCAUCUCACUAGGGAGUGCCAGACAGUGGGCACAGGACAGUGGGUGCAGUGCACCGUGUGCAAGCCGAAGCAGGGUGAGGCAUUGCCUCACUUGGGAAGCACAAGGGGUCAGGGAGUUCGUUCCCUUUCCUAGUUAAAGAAAGGGGUGACAGAGGCACCUGGAAAAUCGGGUCACUCCCACCCCAAUACUGUGCUUUUCGGACGUGCUUAAAAAACGGUGCACCAGGAGAUUAUAUCCUGCACCUGGCUCGGAGAGUCCUACGCCCAUGGAGCCUCGCUGAUUGCUAGCAUGGCAGUCUGAGAUCAAACUGCAAGGCGGCAGCAAGGCUGGGGGAGGUACGCCCGCCAUUGCCCAGGCUUGCUUAGGUAAACAAAGCAGCCAGGAAGCUCCAACUGGGUGGAGCCCAUCACAGCUCAAGGAAGCCUGCCUGCCUCUGUAGGCUCCACCUCUGGGAGCAGGGCACAAACAAAAAGACAGCAGUAACCUCUGCAGACUUAAAUGUCCCUGUCUGACAGCUUUGAAGAGAGCAGUGUUUCUCCCAGCAUGCAGCUGGAGAUCUGAGAAUGGGCAGACUGCCUCCUCAAGUGGGUCCCUGACCCCUGAGCCCCAAGCAGCCUAACUGGGAGGCACCCCCCAGUUGGGGCAGACUGACACCUCACACGGCCGGGUGCUCCUCUUAGACAAAACUUCCAGAGGAACGAUCAGACAGCAGCAUUAGCGGUUCACGAAAAUCCGCUGUUCUGCAGCCACCGCUGCUGGUACCCAGGCAAACAGGGUCUGGAGUGGACCUCUAGCAAACUCCAACAGACCUGCAGCUGAGGGUCCUGUCUGUUAGAAGGAAAACUAACAAACAGAAAGGACAUCCACACCAAAAACCCAUCUGUACAUCACCAUCAUCAAAGACCAAAAGUAGAUAAAACCAUAAAGAUGGGGAAAAAACAGAGCAGAAAAACUGGAAAUUCUAAAAAGCAGAGCACCUCUCCUCCUCCAAAGGAACGCAGCUCCUCACCAGCAAUGGAACAAAGCUGGACGGAGAAUGACUUUGACGAGUUGAGAGAAGAAGGCUUCAGACGAUCAAACUACUCCGAGCUACAGGAGGAAAUUCAAAUCAAAGGCAAAGAAGUUGAAAAAUUUGAAAAAAAUUUAGACGAAUGUAUAACUACAAUAACCAAUACAGAGAAGUGCUUAAAGGAGCUGAUGGAGCUGAAAGCCAAGGCUCGAGAACUACGUGAAAAAUGCAGAAGCCUCAGGAGCUGAUGCAAUCAACUGGAAGAAAGGGUAUCAGUGAUGGAAGAUGAAAUGAAUGAAAUGAAGCGAGAAGGGAAGUUUAGAGAAAAAAGAAUAAAAAGAAACGAACAAAGCCUCCAAGAAAUAUGUGACUAUGUGAAAAGACCAAAUCUAUGUCUGAUUGCUGUACCUGAAAGUGACGGAGAGAAUGGAACCAAGUUGGAAAACACUCUGCAGGAUAUUAUCCAGGAGAACUUCCCCAAUCUAGCAAGGCAGGCCAACAUUCAGAUUCAGGAAAUACAGAGAACGCCACAAAGAUACUCCUCGAGAAGAGCAACUCCAAGACACAUAAUUGUCAGAUUCACCAAAGUUGAAAUGAAGGAAAAAAUGUUAAGGGCAGCCAGAGAGAAAGGUCGGGUUACCCACAAAGGGAAGCCCAUCAGACUAACAGCGGAUCUCUCGGCAGAAACUCUAUAAGCCAGAAGAGAGUGGGGGCCAAUAUUCAACAUUCUAAAAGAAAAGAAUUCUCAACCCAGAAUUUCAUAUCCAGCCAAACUAAGCUUCAAGAGUGAAGGAGAAAUAAAAUACUCUACAGACAAGCAAAUGCUGAGAGAUUUUGUCACCACAAGGCCUGCCCUAAAAGACCUCCCAAAGGAAGCACUAAACAUGGAAAGGAACAACCGGUAGCAGCCACUGCAAAAUCAUGCCAAAUUGUAAAGACCAUCGAGGCUAGGAAGAAAAUGCAUCAACUACUGAGCAAAAUCACCAGCUAACAUCAUAAUGACAGGAUCAAAUUCACACAUAACAAUAUUAACUUUAAAUGUAAAUGGACUAAAUGCUCCAAUUAAAAGACACAGACUGGCAAAUUGGAUAAAGACACAAGACCCAUCAGUGUGCUGUAUUCAGGAAACCCAUUUCAUGUGCAGAGACACACAUAGGCUCAAAAUAAAAGGAUGGAGGAAGAUCUACCAAGCCAAUGGAAAACAAAAAAAGGCAGGGGUUGCAAUCCCAGUCUCUGAUAAAACAGACUUUAAACCAACAAAGAUCAAAAGAGACAAAGAAGACCAUUACAUAAUGGUAAAGGGAUCAAUUCAACAAGAAGAGCUAACUAUCCUAAAUAUAUAUGCACCCAAUACAGGAGCACCCAGAUUCAUAAAGCAAGUCCUGAGUGACCUACAAAGAGACUUAGACUCCCACACAAUAAUAAUGGGAGACUUUAACACCCCACUGUCAACAUUAGACAGAUCAACGAGACAGAAAGUUAACAAGGAUACCCAGGAAUUGAACUCAGCUAUGCACCAAGCGGACCUGAUAGACAUCUGCAGAACUCUCCACCCCAAAUCAACAGAAUAUACAUUUUUUUCAGCACCACACCACACCUAUUCCAAAAUUGACCACAUAGUUGGAAGUAAAGCUCUCCUCAGCAAAUGUAAAAGAUCAGAAAUUAUAACAACCUGUCUCUCAGACCACAGUGCAAUCAAACUAGAACUCAGCAUUAAGAAACUCACUCAAAACCACUCAACUACAUGGAAACUGAACAACCUGCUCCUGAAUGACUACUGGGUACAUAACGAAAUGAAGGCAGAAAUAAAGAUGUUCUUUGAAACCAACGAGAACAAAGACACAACAUACCAGAAUCUCUGGGACACAUUCAAAGCAGUGUGUAGAGGGAAAUUUAUAGCACUAAAUGCCCACAAGAGAAAGCAGGAAAGAUCCAAAAUUGACACCCUAACAUCUCAAUUAAAAGAAUUAGAAAAGCAAGAGCAAAUACAUUCAAAAGCUAGGAGAAGGCAAGAAAUAACUAAAAUCAGAGCAGAACUGAAGGAAAUAGAGACCAAAAAAACCCUUCAAAAAAUUAAUGAAUCCAGGAGCCGGUUUUUUGAAAGGAUCAACAAAAUUGAUAGACUGCUAGAAAGACUAAUAAAGAAGAAAAGAGAGAAGAAUCAAAUAGACACAAUAAAAAAUGAUAAAGGGGAUAUCACCACCAAUCCCACAGAAAUACAAACUACCAUCAGAGAAUACUACAAACACCUCUACGCAAAUAAACUAGAAAAUCUAGAAGAAAUGGAUAAAUUCCUCGACACAUACACCCUCCCAAGACUAAACCAGGAAGAAGUUGAGUCUCUGAAUAGACCAAUAACAGGCUCUGAAAUUGUGGCAAUAAUCAAUAGCUUACCAACCAAAAAGAGUCCAGGACCAGAUGGAUUCACAGCCGAAAUCUACAAGAGGUACAAGGAGGAACUGGUACCAUUCCUUCUGAAAGUAUUCCAAUCAAUAGAAAAAGAGGGAAUCCUCCCUAACUCAUUUUAUGAGGCCAGCAUUAUCCUGAUACCAAAGCUGCGCAGAGACACAACCAAAAAAGAGAAUUUUAGACCAAUAUCCUUGAUGAACAUUGAUGCAAAAAUCCUCAAUAAAAUACUGGCAAACCGAAUCCACCAGCACAUCAAAAAGCUUAUCCACCAUGAUCAAGUGGGCUUCAUCCCUGGGAUGCAAGGCUGGUUCAAUAUAUGCAAACCAAUAAAUGUAAUCCAGCAUAUAAACAGAACCAAACACAAAAACCACAUGAUUAUCUCAAUAGAUGCAGAAAAGGCCUUUGACAAAAUUCAACAACCCUUCAUGCUAAAAACUCUCAAUAAAUUAGGUAUUGAUGGGACAUAUCUCAAAAUAAGAGCUAUCUAUGACAAACCCACAGACAAUAUCAUACUGAAUGGGCAAAAACUGGAAGCAUUCCCUUUGAAAACUGGCACAAGACAGGGAUGCCCUCUCUCACCACUCCUAUUCAACAUAGUGUUGGAAGUUCUGGCCAGGGCAAUCAGGCAGGAGAAGGAAAUAAAGGGUAUUCAAUUAGGAAAAGAGGAAGUUAAAUUGUCCCUGUUUGCAGAUGACAUGAUUGUAUACCUAGAAAACCCCAUUGUCUCAGCCCAAAAUCUCCUUAAGCUGAUAAGCAACUUCAGCAAAGUCUCAGGAUAGAAAAUCAAUGUACAAAAAUCACAAGCAUUCUUAUACACCAAUAACAGACAAACAGAGAGCCAAAUCAUGAGUGAACUCCCUUUCACAAUUGCUUCAAAGAGGAAUAAAAUACCUAGGAAUCCAACUUACAAGGGAUGAGAAGGACCUCUUCAAGGAGAACUACAAACCACUGCUCAAGGAAAUAAAAGAGGAUACAAACAAAUGGAAGAACAUUCCAUGCUCAUGGAUAGGAAGAAUCAAUAUCGUGAAAAUGGCCAUACUGCCCAAGGUAAUUUAUAGAUUCAAUGCCAUCCCCAUCAAGCUCCCAAUGACUUUCUUCACAGAAUUGGAAAAAACUACUUUCAAGUUCAUAUGGAACCAAAAAGGAGCCCGCAUCGCCAAGUCAAUCCUAAGCCAAAAGAACAAAGCUGGAGGCAUCAUGCUACCUGACUUCAAACUAUACUACAAGGCUACAGUCACCAAAACAGCAUGGUACUGGUACCAAAACAGAGAUAUAGAUCAAUGGAACAGAACAGAGCCCUCAGAAAUAACGCCGCAUAUCUACAACUAUCUGAUCUUGGACAAACCUAACAAAAACAAGCAAUGGGGGAAGGAUUCCCUAUUUAAUAAAUGGUGCUGGGAAAACUGGCUAGCCAUAUGUAGAAAGCUGAAACUGGAUCCCUUCCUUACACCUUAUACAAAAAUUAAUUCAAGAUGGAUUAAAGACUUAAACGUUAGACCUAAAACCAUAAAAACCCUAGAAGAAAAUCUAGGCAUUACCAUUCAGGACAUAGUCAUGGGCAAGGACUUCAUGUCUAAAACACCAAAAGCAAUGGCAACAAAAGCCAAAAUUGACAAAUGGGAUCUAAUUAAACUAAAGAGCUUCUGCACAGCAAAAGAAACUACCAUCAGAGUGAACAGGCAACCUACAGAAUGGGAGAAAAUUUUCCCAACCUACUCAUCUGACAAAGGGCUAAUAUCCAGAAUCUACAAUGAACUCAAACAAAUAUACAAGAAAAAAAACAACCCCAUCAAAAAGUGGGCAAAGGACAUGAACAGACACUUCUCAAAAGAAGACAUUUAUGCAGCCAAAAGGCACAUGAAAAAAUGCUCACCAUCCCUGGUCAUCAGAGAAAUGCAAAUCAAAACCACAAUGAGAUACCAUCUCACACCAGUUAGAAUGGCAAUCAUUAAAAGUCAGGAAACAACAGGUGCUGGAGAGGAUGUGGAGAAACAGGAACACUUUUACACUGUUGGUGGGACUGUAAACUACUUCAACCAUUGUGGAAGUCAGUGUGGCGAUUCCUCAGGGAUCUAGAACUAGAAAUACCAUUUGACCCAGCCAUCCCAUUACUGGGUAUAUACCCAAAGGACUGUAAAUCAUGCUGCUAUAAAGACACAUGCACACGUAUGUUUAUUGUGGCACUAUUCACAAUAGCAAAGACUUGGAACCAACCCAAAUGUCCAACAAUGAUAGACUGGAUUAAGAAAAUGUGGCACGUAUACACCAUGGAAUACUAUGCAGCCAUAAAAAAUGAUGAUUUCAUGUCCUUUGUAGGGACAUGGAUGAAAUUGGAAAUCAUCCUUCUCAGUAAACUAUGGCAAGAACAAAAAACCAAACACCGCAUAUUCUCACUCAUAGGUGGGAAUUGAACAAUGAGAGCACAUGGACACAGGAAGGGGACCAUCACACUCUGGGGACUGUUGUGGGGUGGGGGGAGGGAGGAGGGAUAUCUUUAGGAGAUAUACCUAAUGCUAAAUGACGAAUUAAUGGGUGCAGCACACCAGCAUGGCACAUGUAUACAUAUGUAACUAACCUGCACAUUGUGCACAUGUACCCUAAAACUUAAAGUAUAAUAAUAAUAAAAUAAAAUAAAAUAAAAAAGAAGAAAUACCUAAUGUAGGUGACGGGUUGAUGGGUGCAGCAAACCACCAUGGCACGUGUAUAUCUGUGUAACAAACCUGCACAUUCUGCACAUGUAUCCCAGAACUUUAAUAAUAAUAAAAAAAGAAGACAAAGUAGUUCCAGAAAACAAAUUGACAUUAAAUAAUCUGACAGAGGGUUCUAAUUAUUCAAGACUGCUUUUGAUUUUUUUAAUGACUUGCACUCUUCUAUGAUACAGGCACUGGAACUAAAGCAAAAUGGUGGAAGAAGAUUAGUACUGUAUAGAAACAUUUUUAGAGAAAUGAAAGUGCAAAAAUGUCAGACAGAAGCUUCUGUGUAUUUUCACAAAGUUACACCAUGUGCCUGCCUCUCCUGCCUCUCCUGCCUCCCCUUCCACCUCCUCCACCUCUUCCAUCUCUGGCACCCCUGAGUCAGCCAGACCAACUUCUCCUCUUCCUCCUCCUCCUCAGCCUACUUAACAUGAAGAUAAUGAGGAUUAAGACCUUUUUGAUAACCCACUUCCACUCAAUUAAUAGUAAAUAUACUUUCUCUUCCUUAUGAUUUUCUUAAUUGCAUUUUCUUUUUGCUAGCUUCAGUUAUAAGAAGACAGUAUGUAAUACAUAUACAAAAUGUGUGUUAAUCUAUUAUUUAUGUUAUCAGUAAAGCUUCCAGAGUCAGCAGAAGGCUAUUAGUUUUUUAUCCAUUUUAGGUAUUAGUUAUUUUUUGUUAAUUGACAAAUAAGUAUUACAUACAAUUGACCCUUGAACAACACAGGGUCCAACACAGGGGUUAGGGGGACCAAUCCUCCAUGCAUUCAAAACUGCAUACACAGAGUGUGUUGUUCAAGGGUCAAUUGUAUGUAAUUUUUAUUUGUCAAUUAACAAAAAAAAUUAGAAAAAACUAUACCAUGCUUUACUGUACACUUAAAAAUUUGUUGAGACUAGAUCUCAUGUUAAGUGUUCUUACCACAAUAAAAUAAAUUUUUCAAAAAGAUUUUAGAAAACUUAGGAAUAAUUAUUAGAUUUUAAUUUAUUAAAGGAUAUUCUAUAUUUUCCAGGAGAUACUGUAUUUUCUCAUAUGCUACUUCCUCUACAAAGGAAGAUGGGAAUAAUUUACAUUUAAAUGUUAAAACUUUGUUUUUAAUGAAACUAGCAUGAGGUAUCCUCAAAAAGGGGAGUAGAAUCUCUACAACAGAUAGCAUAAUUAUUAUAGGGUAUUUAUUCAAUCAUAAUAAUUCAUAACACAAAUAGAAUAAAAUGAUAAUAUUGAUGUAAAAAAAAAAGCAGGGAGAAACAAAAAAAGAGAUAGACCCAGCAGAAUGUGAAUGGAAUCAUAAUGAUUACCAGUUUAUAUGUACAUAAUAUGUAUUUGAGAAGAAUGUGUAAACCACUGUCUCAUAUGAUUGGCAUUUCUAUAAAUUUAACAAAUUUCUUAACUAUGAUAAUUAUUUAUUGUUGCUACAGUACCACAUGCACAUCUCUGUGCCACUUCAUUUUAAGAUAAGUCUGUAAUUCACAGUGAACUGGUUCUUGGGCAUCAAUUUAUGACAAAUUCAUUUUCAUUUGUCAGAUAGCUUUAGGAUAACAUUAUUUUAAUGCAUGUAUGUAUUGUUUCAUCUCCAAGUCUUGUUGCCAUUUUUAAGGGCUGUCAGCUGUAUUACAUAAUUUGAUAUGGAAAAUAUUUUGGGUCAAUCAGUCUUUUUUAUGAGUCUUCUGUAUGGACUUUUUUUUCUAUUUAAGGAAAGACAUGUACAUUCUGAAACUGGACAUAUAUUAUUAAUCUACUACUACAUAUACUAAUCUAAUCUGGUGACUACUGAGUAUUUUAAUAAUAACCAUGUAACUUGGAACUUUUAUCCUUCAGAAUUAUGAAAGUAAGCAUAUAUUUUAUAGUAUUUAGGGUAGAGUGUAAAGAAGUAUCUAGCAUAGUAGUUAAGUUAAAAUCAAUCCAUCUUUCUAUGUGCCUAUCUACAUAGCUGCACUUUUAUCUGUCUGUUAAAGUCUGUUCUUUAUAUACCAUUGGAAACAUUCGAGGGUCAUUAAAAUAGGACCCCAUUUUCUUGUUCACUGAAUAAGAUUUACUUCAUAUUUAUGGGCAUUUUUCUUAAAACCUCUUGACAAUAGUUAGGGAUGCAAAGAAACAUGGUAAAUUAUAUCCUUGAAGUUCUUAUUUUGUUGGUUAUUUGCCAGAUACUUUUAAUUUUAUCAUUUGCCUUUAGAAUACAGUUUUUUAUUUACAUCCCAAUGUUUCUUUACAGAUUACUGAACUAUGAAAAACAAUAUUUAUAUUUCCAGAAAAGUAACAGUUUUAUUAAUGAAUGUAAAUAGACAUCUUGUGAUUUAUGUUAUUAAGGCACAAUAGUAAAUAUUUUAUAAAAUAUUUGUAGGCUGUAUUUGAGAUAAAUUCAGGGGAAAAUAUGUUAUUUCAGAAUGCUCUGAUGCUCUGCCUCUGAGAUAUAGAACAAUGCAGUGGUGUGUUUGGGAUAACUUAUGCAAUAUUAAAGGCUAUCUUUUCUGUAGAAUUAUUUUUGGUCAGUUCCUAUAAACAAUCUUUUUUCUUCCUUAAAUUGCACAAGUAACUAAUAUUAGCAUGACAUUUUAAACCUAGCAAUUAUGUUUUUCUAAUGAGAUUUAUGUGUAGAUCAAAAAUAGAUGGCCUCUGAUCUUCAUGGCCAUAGAGAAAAUAAAUAUGUUUCUUGUGAACACCCUGGAAUUUUCCCAGUUUUAUGGAUCACAUUAAUUUAAAAAUCUAUCAUAGAUCUUAGUGUCCGAGAAAUACACAGAAACUAUACCCGUUAUUACAAGAACAAAACAAUUCAAACUUGGCCUUGUGAAACUAAAAUAAAUCUAAACUUGAGACUUUUAUGUAGAGUGCAGACAAAAAGCAUUGGCAUUUCCAGGAAUAAAUCUAGAUUUUAUUCCCUCUAAAGAUUAUACCAUUUGGGAAAAAGUGUUUGAGAAAAAAAAUAUGAAUGUUGUCUUACCUUUCAAAUUUUAUUAAGCUUAUGACCAUGUGAACACAUCUCUAGGUCCUCCCAGGUCCUUGGAAGUGACCUAUAAAAGUGCAGGGCUCUGGAGAUUAAGCUGCAUUUCAUAGUAAACUCACAAUCGCAUAUUCAGUAAUCUCUCCUUAUCUGUGGGAGAUAUGUUCUAAGACCCUCAGUGAUGACCUGAAAUCACAGAUAGUACUCAACACUAUAUGCCCUUAAAAUAGGCACAAGAAGAGAUUAACAACAAUUCAUAAAAAAGAACAAUAAUAUACUUUAGUAAAAGUUAUGUGAAUGUGGUCUCUUAUUCUCAAAAGAUCUUACUGUACUAUACUUGCCUUUUUUCUUCUUGCAAUCUGUUAACCUGAUAACCAAGAGGGCUGCUAAGUAACUAAUGGGCAGGUAAUCUAUACAGCGUGAAUACACAGGGCAAAGGAAGGAUUCACAUCCCAAGCAGGUUGAAGCAGGACAACACGAGAUUUUAUCAUGCUACUCAGAACAGUGCACAAUUUAAAACUUAUGAAUUAUUUAUUUCUGGAAUUUUCCAUUUAACAUUUUUGGACCUUUGUUGACCACAGGUAACUGAAACGCUGAAAGUGAAACCUUGGGUAAGGGGGACUACUGAAAUAAAAAGGCAUGAAGCAAGGAGCAGAUUGGUUAAUCGUUUCAUUGUUGUUAGUGAAAUAUAUCGUAACAUUGUGCAUGGAUUCUUCUGUUAAAUAUUAAACCACGUGUAUUUUUUAAACAACUAGUCUUCAAAUACUUUAAAUAUUAAAAAAAAUCACGUCUUGACAAUAUGAUAUUUAAUUGAAGAAGUUACUGCAAAAUGUACUUGUGUUUACAGGUAGAAUAUUUUAAAGCUUUUUGAUCUUCACAUCCUUGAGGAUUCAGUGCAGCUUUACUCAAUCAGGAUCAUUCCUAGGUACAUGAAACUAUGUAUUGUUAAAUACCUGGUUGAUAAGAUUUAGAUUUCUUUUUUCAUCUUCUGUUUUAGAAGCAUUUAUGUUCGCUUAAAGUCUGAUGGUUAGGUUUCUAACUUUUCCAAUAUUUGGAUUGGUAAAUGUACUACUUAAGUUACAUAAAUGCUUUAUUAUUGGUAAUGGCAUAUAUAAAAUCUCAAUGCAUUUAUAUGACUCUCUAGUAAUUGGUUAUACAAAGAGUACAGAAAACAGUGAUUUACCAUAGACUAUUGCUUACAUCUGAAUCUAUUUGUUCAACUCUUUUAUUACCAUUGCCUUGUUUGGCUCAUAUAAAUUUUAUUUAAUUUUUCUUUCUAACUAAUCACAAUGAUACCAAAUUGUAGUAUAUAGUUUUAUUUGUAGCACAGAUUGCUCUCUAAAAAUAUGUACCAUGAGUACAUGUGUAAAUCAAUGAACAUCAACUUAAACAGUAGCUAUUUCAUGUGAACUACACACAUUCUUGUCAAGAAACAGAAGUAAAUGGCUGAGGCCCAGGCAUAAUUCCUUGGAAAUGACAAUGCCAAAAUGCCCAAGGAAACUCUUGGCAGGGCUACUCAUUUGUUUUCACAUAUUUAUCUAUUUGUUCCCUUGGUUUCAAGGCUCUAAACAGAAAUUCAGAGCAUUUUCAUGGUAUCUGGGCAUCAUUACAAUAUUUACUAAAAGAGAAGUCCUAAACAUGGCCAUUUUAUGGGACAAAUCAGUAGCACAUGGUGUUUAUACAAUGUUAUAUAUGAUUUUACUCAUUAUGCCAACUGUAUUAAGGGGAUUCCAUCUUUCUUUGGGCCCUCAUCAGGCUACCACGAUAUACAGUGAGUGGUAUACUUAAGCUCUGGCUGAAUUGUUCUGUAACGUAAUCUGACUCAAGGAGAACAAAUGGAGAGGGUCUUUGUCAUUCUACUGUGUCAUGUGAAUUUUCUCUGUUUCUGGAGUCUGAGUUGUUCUGUUUUACACCUGCUAUUUGAGAAACUUUUUACAAUUUUCGUGUCAUAAGCCAGAAUGCAAUGGGAUGAAUAUGGAGCCUUUCUUUUUAUACACUCCCUUGAAACUCUUCAUGAAAAGCUUUCUUAUUGAAUUGUUUCAUUCUAGCUUGAAUAUCCAAAUGGAAUGUGUUAAGAUAAAUUCAUAAGUACGUUUCUAUUAUUAUACUAUUUAUAUAGUUAUGACACAUUGUGAAUUGAACGAAAGGUCUUAUAAAAUUCUGAAAAGCUGUGCUGUUGCUUAUGUAUUAUGUAUUUAUAUCUCUAAAAUUAUCCACUGACUGCAAAUUGUCCAUAAGGGACAUAUUCAAUGUAAAACAAUCAUUCCCAGAACUAAAAAAGGUCUAAAAAUUUCUUUUGAAUUUUCUUUCUACUACAAAUUUUUGCAUAAGAACAGAAACAGUAACUUCUUUCUAAAACAACAGUGGAAUCUCAAUAUCAAAAUUAGUCUGGUUAAGUACAGCAUGACUGUAGGCCUAGCUGCUUGGGAGGCUGAGGUGGGAGGAUCACUUUAGGCUCAGAGUUUGAGGCUGCAGUGUACUAUAAUAGUGCCUAGGAAUAGUCACUGUACUUGAAGCUGGGCAGCAUAAUGAGACCACAUCUUUCUCAAAAAAAAAAAUCUGAUGCUCAGUAUCAAUCAUUUAAAAAUAAAUGAAUGAAUGAUCAUGGGACAGAAAAAUGAUAAAUUCUGUAUUCAAUCUAUAUUUGAACUGAUAUUUUUGUUACAUCUCUGCAAAUUAUUUUCAUGGGUUUAAGUAUUUUUAAUUCAUUUUAUUUUUAUUUGCAAAAACAUUGUACAUACAUCUGAUUUUUAAAAAUUUUCUGGGAUCAUAAGACUACAUGGUUAAAAUAUUCUAUUAUAAUACUUUUAUAGCAGAUUCAAUCAAAAUAAGAUAAUUACUGAAUAAAAUGUAAACAUUGACUAGAAAUGUCCCUUUUAAUGAAAUCAAUAGGCAUCCUGUAUAUCUAUAGAUGAAUAAUUUUUAGUGCUAGUUAAGCAGAUACAGGUUUUUGUCUCAAUUAUAUUUCUUUCUUGGUUUUUCUUGGUUUUUAAUUGAGGUACGUGCUGAGUAACUUGUUCACAUAAUAAAGUAGAUGACGGUGGAAAGUAUUUUAUUUUCAGUAUUAGUCAAUUAUUUGAACUUGCCAAAAAUCACAUAAUGAUUUAUUAUCAAAAAUUAUUUGUAAUGAUCUGUGGACUGACAAUUCACUUGAAUCUUCCCUCAAUAUUGUGAAAAGCAGAAAAUUGGAAACCAUCUGAUUAACAAAAAGAUUAUUUCUAGUCAAUAAACUUAGCAUUUCUGAGAAGUGUAUCAAAAACAUUUACCAAAACUUAAAAAAUGAAAAUAACUAUACUGCCUUUUUAUCAUUUAGAGGCAAAAAAUCGAAAAAUUAAAAUACAGGUAUACUUCUACUUAUUGCAUUUCACUUUAUUGCACUUUGCAAAUGCUGCAUUAAUUACAAAUUGAAGGUUUGUGGCAACCCUGCCUUCAGAAACUCUGUUGGCACCAUUUUUCAUGACAGCAUGUGCUGACUUUGUGUCUUGUGUCACAUUUUGGUAAUUCCCACAGUAUUUCAAACUCUUAUUGUUAUUAUAUCUGUUAUGGUUAUCUUUGAUGUUGCUAUUGUAAUUGUUUUUGGGUGCCAUGAACUGUGCUCAUAUAAGAGGGUAAGUUUCAUGUUGUGUGCAUUCUCACUGCUCCAUAGACCAGCUGUUCUGCUAUCUCUCCCCCUCUCCUAGGGCCUCUCUACUGUCUGAGAUACAAUAGUAUUGUAAUUAGGCCACUUAAUAAACCUACAGUGGCUUCUAAGUGUUCAAGUGAAAGGAAGAGUUGCAAGUCUCUCAUUUGAAAUCAAAAGCUAGAAAUGAUUCACCUUAAUGAGAAAGGUGCUGAAAGCACAGGCAGGCUGAAAGCUAGGUGUCUAGCACUAAGGUUAGCCAAGUUGUGAAUGCAAAGGAAAAGUGAAGAAAGUUUUAGAAGUUUGGAUACAAGAUCAAACCACCCACAACAUUCCCUAAGCCAGAGCCUAAUCCAGAGCAGGGCCCUAACUGUCUUCAAUUCUACUGAAGGUAAGGAAUCUGCAGAAGAGAAGUUUGAAGCUAGUACAUUUUUUUUUGUUUUUGUUUUUUAUUAUUAUUAUACUUUAAGUUUUAGGGUACAUGUGCACAACGUGCAGGUUUGUUACAUAUGUAUACGUGUGCCAUGUUGGUGUGCUGCACCCAUUAACUCGUCAUUUAGCAUUAGGUAUAUCUCCUAAUGCUAUCCCUUCCCCCUCCCCCUCCACCACAACAGUCCCCGGUGUGUGAUGUUCCCCUUCCUGUGUCCCUGUGUUCUCAUUGUUCAGUUCCCACCUAUGAGUGAGAACACGUGGUGUUUGGUUUUUUGUCCUUGUGAUAGUUUGCUGAGAACGAUGGUUUCCAGCUUCAUCCAUGUCCCUACAAAAGACAUGAACUCAUCAUUUUUUAUGGCUGCAUAAUAUUCCAUGGUGUAUAUGUGCCCCAUUUUCUUAAUCCAGUCUAUCAUUGUUGGACAUUUAGGUUGGUUCCAAGUCUUUGCUAUUGUGAAUAGUGCCGCAAUAAACACAAUACGUGUGCAUGUGUCUUUAUAGCAGCAUGAUUUAUAAUCCUUUGGGUAUAUACCCAGUAAUGGGAUUGCUGGGUCAAAUGGUAUUUCUAGUUCUAGAUCCCUGAGGAAUUGCCACACUGUCUUCCACAAUGGUUGAACUAGUUUACAGUCCCACCAACAGUGUAAAAGUGUUCCUGUUUCUCCACAUCCUCUCCAGCACCUGUUGUUUCCUGACUUUUAAUGAUUGCCAUUCUAACUGGUGUGAGAUGGUAUCUCAUUGUGGUUUUGAUUUGCAUUUCUCUGAUGACCAGGGAUGGUGAGCAUUUUUUCAUGUGUUUUUUGGCUACAUAAAUGUCUUCUUUUGAGAAGUGUCUGUUCAUAUCCUUCGCCCACUUUUUGAUGGGGUUGUUUGUUUUUUUCUUGUAAAUUUGUUUGAGUUCAUUGUAGAUUCUGGAUAUUAGCCCUUUGUCAGAUGAGUAGGUUGCAAAAAUUUUCUCCCAUUCUGUAGGUUGCCUGUUCACUCUGAUGGUAGUUUUUUUUGCUGUGCAGAAGCUCUUUAGUUUAAUUAGAUCCCAUUUGUCAAUUUUGGCUUUUGUUGCCAUUGCUUUUGGUGUUUUAGACAUGAAGUCCUUGCCCAUGCCUAUGUCCUGAAUGGUAUUGACUAGGUUUUCUUCUAGGGUUUUUAUGGUUUUAGGUCUAACAUGUAAGUCUUUAAUCCAUCUUGAAUUAAUUUUUGUAUAAGGUGUAAGGAAGGGAUCCAGUUUCAGCUUUUUACAUAUGGCUAGCCAGUUUUCCCAGCACCAUUUAUUAAAUAGGGAAUCCUUUCCCCAUUUCUUGAUUUUGUCAGUUUUGUCAAAGAUCAGAUAGUUGUAGAUAAGUGGCAUUAUUUCUGAGGGCUCUGUUCUGUUCCGUUGUUCUAUAUCUCUGUUUUGGUACCAGUAUCAUGCUGUUUUGGUUACUGCAGCCUUGUAGUAUAGUUUGAAGUCAGGUAGCGUGAUGCCUCCAGCUUUGUUCUUUUGACUUAAGAUUGACUUGGCAAUGCGGGCUCUUUUUUGGUUCCAUAUGAACUUUAAAGUAGUGUUUUCCAAUUCUGUGAAGAAUGUCAUUGGUAGCUUGAUGGGGAUGGCAUUGAAUCUAUAAAUUACCUUGGGCAGUAUGGCCAUUUUCACGAUAUUGAUUCUUCCUACCCAUGAGCAUGGAAUGUUCUUCCAUUUGUUUGUAUCCUCUUUUAUUUCCUUGAGCAGUGGUUUGUAGUUCUCCUUGAAGAGGUCCUUCUCAUCCCUUGUAAGUUGGAUUCCUAGGUAUUUUAUUCUCUUUGAAGCAAUUGUGAAUGGGAGUUCACUCAUGAUUUAGCUCUCUGUUUGUUAUUGGUGUAUAGGAAUGCUUGUGAUUUUUGCACAUUGAUUUUGUAUCCUGAGACUUUGCUGAAGUUGCUUAUCAGCUUAAGGAGAUUUUGGGCUGAGACAUUGGGGUUUUCUAGAUAUACAAUCAUGUCAUCUGCAAACAGGGACAAUUUGACAUCCUCUUUUCCUAAUUGAAUGCCCUUUAUUUCCUUCUCCUGCCUGAUUGCCCUGGCCAGAACUUCCAACACUAUGUUGAAUAGGAGUGGUGAGAGAGGGCAUCCCUGUCUUGUGCCAGUUUUCAAAGGGAAUGCUUCCAGUUUUUGCCCAUUCAGUAUGAUAUUGGCUGUGGGUUUGUCAUAGAUAGCUCUUAUUUUGAGAUAUGUCCCAUCAAUACCUAAUUUAUUGAGAGUUUUUAGCAUGAAGGGUUGUUGAAUUUUGUCAAAGGCAUUUUCUGCAUCUAUUGAGAUAAUCAUGUAGUUUUUGUGUUUGGUUCUGUUUAUAUGCUGGAUUAUGUUUAUUGGUUUUUGUAUGUUGAACCAGCCUUGCAUCCCAGGGAUGAAGCCCACUUGAUCAUGGUGGAUAAGCUUUUUGAUGUGCUGCUGGAUUCGUUUUGCCAGUAUUUUAUUGAGGAUUUUUGCAUCAAUGUUCAUCAAGGAUAUUGGUCUAAAAUUCUCUUUUUUGGUUGUGUCUCUGCCAGGCUUUGGUAUCAGGAUAAUGCUGGCCUCAUAAAAUGAGUUAGGGAGGAUUCCCUCUUUUUCUAUUGAUUGGAACAGCUUCAGAAGGAAUGGUACCAGUUCCUCCUUGUACCUCUGGUAGAAUUCGGCGGUGAAUCCAUCUGGUCCUGGGCUUUUUUUGGUUGCUUACAGCUGCCGUACAUAAUGAUUCCUCUGAUGAAUCUGGGAAAAGGAGAUGGAAAAUCUUCUGGAAAGGAUUUGCUAUUCUAGAUAACAUCACGAUCAUUCACUGUUAUGGGAGGAGGUCAAAAUACCAACAUUAACAGAAGUUUGGAAGAAGUUUAUUUCAAUCCUCAUGGGUGACUUUAAGAGGCUCAGGACUUCAGUGAAGUCCUGUAAGUAGUGUUUUGGUGAAUAAAUACGGCAGCCGGCCGGUGGUGAUAGCAGGAGGCUUAUUAUGCUGUCUUGGAAUGGUG
This is an RNA transcript of Pan troglodytes (chimpanzee), 19824 nucleotides long. It is a transcript of the gene named solute carrier family 16 member 7, with no coding region annotated. The transcript is spliced from 4 exons. NCBI's taxonomy places the organism in Eukaryota, Metazoa, Chordata, Mammalia, Primates, Hominidae. The record is from RefSeq and is a predicted model, not a curated record.